CGCGCAGCUCGUCCGGCCCGCCCGCAGGCCAGCUUCUCUCGGGAGCCUCCACCCAGGCGCAUGGCUCCAUGAAGCAAGAGGAGGAGGCAGAGCGCGAGAGAUCCCGUCCGCCCCAGCCGCGUCUGGGCCAGGAGAAAAGCAAAACCAUAUUCCUGCUGCUGUCAGUUUUGAUGCACUGAGAAAACUUCAGAGACCUAAGCUUUUUCCAGAGAAGAGAAGCUUUACUGGUGUUCCAGCCCUAAGAAACUUAAAUCCUCAGUGUGACACAACUCAGUCCUUCUACUGCAGCAGCUCUUUUAUAAAAGCCUCCCAAAGCUCCAAGAAGGAACAAAGAAUGUGACCCAGUAAGCUCACACCAUAAGUCUAUAUUGCAGAAACCUUUGUUCAACAAAACUGCAGAUGCUCUGUUGAAUCCACUGGAGAUUGUCCUGAUACUAAGGACAAGUAUGCUCAUAUGACAUUAACAGACAAGACACUUUUCAGAAAGACAGGUUGUUCUUUUGGGCCACAUCUAAGAAAUCUUUGUCUAGCCAAAAGCCACAAAUAAUUUCUCAUUUUUUGGCUUCUGGAAGAUGUACAGUUAAAUGUUAUAUUUGGGACUGUUAUCUAAUUUGAUUAAAUUGCACUCUACAAUAUGAUAUUUGAAUUGAUGAAAAAUUAGUAAAUGUUAAUAUUUUUUAAAGUAGCCAAAUCUUGCAAUUUAUAUAUAAUAGAGAAGACUAGAAAAUCCCCCAUAUUUAUUUCCUCUUACUUCGUACUACUAAAAUUUGUAUUUAGGCAUUUGGUUUCUCAGAUAAACAUUACAUUCCCCAGUAUAUGGUUCUAUCUGGCUUGGUGACGACAUGUUGAACAUUAAGAUGUGAGCAGAAGUAAUACAUACACACUCUUUUUAAUGUCUUUAAUUGAAUGGGAUAUUGGCCCAUUUUUUCUUCCAGUUUAUUACACUGAAUAUUGACAUGUUAUUUUCCAAUAUUGAGACAAUCAAUGACAAGACUUUAAGAGUAACAAUGUAAAAAUUAUAGAAGUUGUCUGAGUUUAUCAACAAUCCCCUGGAUUAGAACCCCCUACCAGUUCUAGGUCAUCUAAUAUAUAGACAUUGUGUUCAGUAGAAAUAAAUAUAUAUAUUUUUUAAUAUACUUUAAGUUCUAGGAUACAUGUGCACAACAUGCAGGUUUGUUACAUUGGUAUACACAUGCCAUGUUGGUUUGCUGCACCCAUUAACUCAUCAUUUACAUUAGUUAUUUCUCCUAAUGCUAUCCCUCCCCCUGCCCCCCACCCCCCGACAGGCCCUGGGGUGUGAUGUUCCCCACCCUGUGUCCAAGUGUUCUCAUUGCUCAAUUCCCACCUAUGGGAAUACAUUUUUAAAUCAUUUUUAAAGGUGUUAUUACAUUCUGAUUGAACAUUUUCAGAAAGAAUAAAUAAUUUAAUACAAGAAGUGGGCCACUUCAUGUAACAAAACAAACCACCACUACAGCAACAACAACAAAAAACACUAAUGAAUGUGACUUUAGCUUUGCAACAUCAUGACAGACUAGCAAGUUAAUGACAUUUGUUAUGCCAUAGAAAAUAUUUGUUGAAUUGCCACUCUAAUGACUUUAUAUCAGCCAACUCAUUAUCAACACUAGAAAAGAUGAUUAAAAAAUACUUCAGUACGUUCAUGUGUUGGCUUGUUAACAUUUUUAAGAGUCUAUAAGAGAAAAAUGCAUCCAAUCUCGGCAAAAAUAUUUUUCAAGUAUCUUGUAGGUACGUACAACUAACUACCUUGUGAACAAAAGUCACUAUAUAAUUAUAUAAUUUCUGACACUUAAAAAAGUUUAUUGUGCAAAAGAAGAUAUAUGUUCUAAUACCAAAUCCACAUAUAAAAUAAUUGACUUAUUUAAAUAAUUUAAGAUGCUCUUUUAUAUAUUUAUAUUAAAAACUUUACAGAGAAUAAAAAAGGCAUUAUACAGGCUGCUUAUGGUUUUUGAUGUUUGGAUAUACAAUACAUGUAUCAAAGAUUGUGGAAAUAAAUCAAGCAAUAUAUUCAAUUGGACUUAAUUGCAUUAUUACAUGCCAAGUGUCGUAUACCAUCUAUUUGCACAUAACACUUUUUAAUUUAGGUAAAAUUAUUAAUCAUAAAGCUAUAUGAAUUUAUUUUAUUCCAUGUUAUUUUAUUAUUCCAUGUUAUUAUUUAUGUAUUGUUAGGAACAUUUGCUUAAAAAUCAUAUUUGGACAUAGUAUCAGAUACUUUACAUCCUUCGAAUCAGUUAUUUUAUAACAGUAUAUACUAAACAUCAUUACUCCUUUUCAAACAUAAAUAACGCAAUACAAAUUGGACAAAAAAUUCAGGAAAGAUCUGGGAUCAAAAAGGAGGUAUUGAAACAUCACAUGUACUCCAUAAUUAUAUACAAAUAUUUUGUACCCAUAAUAUUUAAAAUACAGAAAAUUAAAAGGUACAUUUUCCUCAAAGUGCAUGCUUCUUUUGCUAUGCAAAACUGCAGGAUAUGGAAAGAAGUGUAUUAAAACACUAAAUCACUUUAUGUGGAAGAUAAAAGGGAUGGUACCCAAUGUACAACUUCAUGUAGUGCACUGAUAUAUUCAAUAUAAAUGAUGUAUUAACUUCAAGAUAACAUGAGAAAGUUAAAUUAUCUAACUUAUUUCAAACUAGGGGAUAGUAUGUUCUCAUUAUUAGAAGCCAGAAUUCUGCUUAUCCAUUUCUAUUAUUAGAAAAAAACAUAAUUUUUAUUCUUGUCUUAGAAAUAGACACCUUGAUAUAAUUCUCUGUAAAUGUAGCAUGAUAGUCUGUUUACAGAGUUUAUAUCAUUCCAAGACUGCACUUCUAAAGUGAGAAAAUAUUAAAGGAUAUAAACUCACUCCUCUCUACAAAAUUCCUUAUUUUUUAUGCAAUGGCUUUAAAAUGUAUGGAAGGGGAGUUAUGGAAACAAUCCAUACCUGGAAAGCAUUCUAUCCAUGCCUUUGAAAUGGUUAUCUAGUACUAGAUUCUUAUCGGUGCCUAGCUAUGUAAUGUGUGUAGCUUAAGAUUUUUAAGAAAGAAGGAUAAAAUGCUCAAUAUAAAUUUAAAAAGCACUUUUAUUGGAAUAUUGAGUCAUGUAUUUGCUUUCUGUAAGUCCUUUUAUCUAUAAAAUAAUAGUUGAGAAAGGCAAAUAGAAUAUGUGGAGGAAUUAAAAAUUCAGUUGUAGGGUGGUAAAUGAAAACCAAAUUUUUCAUUCACCACAUUAAAUGUAAAUGGGUAUUAUACUCAAUUUAAG
Molecule: long non-coding RNA, 3248 nt
Filed under: Homo sapiens (human)
Lineage: Eukaryota; Metazoa; Chordata; Mammalia; Primates; Hominidae
Description: HSALNT0359065
Source: RNAcentral